GGUGAAAGGCGCUUCCUCAGCCCGCGCGGGAGACCCAGAAGUAGUCCUGAGUUAGCGCUCGUCCUCCCGCCGGUCCACCACCACCAAGUGUAGCCCGGGCCCGGCCUAUUUCCUCAGGCACAGCCCCAGAGCCGGGGGGCCACCCCCUACCCCGGGAGCCCUUCGCCAAGCGCGCAGCUCCAGACCAGAAGCAGCCGCUACGACCCAGAGCUCCGGGUGGGGUAAAGAGAUUCCUUUUACUCACCGCCUCCAAGAUUGCCUCGGGAUUCGCGAAAGCCCCCGAAGGAAAGCGAGCACUUUCUGAGGCUGUGAAGGGACGGCUGCUCGCUUUUCUCUUUCGCCCUUUUCCCUCAGCAGAGUGCCAAAUCCUCGGUGGGAAAGCCGACCCCUCCGGACAGCCCGCGUUUUAAGGCCGGGGGCUGCCGGCCGGGCUCGUAGGCGGCCGGACCCGCCCCGCCCGGGAGCCCGCGCGACGUCACGCGGGAGUUCCAGUUGCGUCACGCCCCUUCCUCCCGCUGCCCAGCGCGGCGGCGCACUUCGUGCACUAGCUGAGGAGCGGACUCCUUGGCAGAAGAAUCUUUUCUUGCUGCUCUCCUAGGAUCUACCAACCAGAGAUUCUAAUGUGAUAUGUUUGGAAUGGAGUUAUCGAUCUGCAUUUUUAAUAGGCAUUCCUCCAGGUUUCUACCGUCUGUGGAACAUGGAAUCAAACCAGAAUAUGUUGGCACAACAGGCCAGUAAAACCGGUUCUUCUGUAGAUCCAGAACCUGUCCAACCAGUCUGUAUCAAAGGCUAGCCCAACGUGCUGCAGCGGCUCAGCUCUGCUAAGCUUGUACUGGGCUUUGGUCCCAGCUCCAAAAUAUCUCAUUAUCUGUAUGUGAAUAUCCCCAAAUUUGAAAAAUUCAAAAUCUGAAACACUUCUGGUCCCAAGCAUUUGAGCAGAUGUAAAAAGAGACAAUGUCAAGUUGAAAACAAAAGAUCUUGGAAGACAGCCCAGACCUCCCCAUUUCUGCUUUACAUCAA
Long non-coding RNA from Symphalangus syndactylus (siamang), 1020 nucleotides. RefSeq lists it as uncharacterized. The record is from RefSeq and is a predicted model, not a curated record. NCBI's taxonomy places the organism in Eukaryota, Metazoa, Chordata, Mammalia, Primates, Hylobatidae.